RNAcentral lists this long non-coding RNA (209 nucleotides) under Elaeis guineensis (African oil palm). RNAcentral's name for it is "long non-coding RNA (EGUI_LNC062784)". The record is from RNAcentral. Lineage: Eukaryota; Viridiplantae; Streptophyta; Magnoliopsida; Arecales; Arecaceae.
UCUCAUGGAUUAUCCUGAUCAAGAUUUUAUUGAAUUGAAAUAUACUGAUGCAUAUCUCUUACUAAUUCAAAGGGAUCAAUUCUAUCUUGAUUCACACACUAACUAGAUAAGUACUUGACUGCACCCAGUAGCCUUUCGACAUUGAGUUAGAAACUCAGAUGGUCAGAUGCUAAAGUAUAGUGAGUUGCUUACAAGUCACCGUGGUGGUC